Actinia tenebrosa (Australian red waratah sea anemone) is the source of this 362-nucleotide long non-coding RNA. Lineage: Eukaryota; Metazoa; Cnidaria; Anthozoa; Actiniaria; Actiniidae. The record is from RefSeq and is a predicted model, not a curated record.
UAACACCAGCUGAAACUAUUAUAUAUUUAAACAUUCUCUUAUUUCAGUCUUUUCCUUUCACUUUCUUGAAGUGUAGUUAAGGUUCGCUUGUGUUAUAUAAAUUUUUGAACUUCGUGCAUCUUAGAAAUCAUAACACAAAGUAAGCCAAGAUCGAUUGUGCACAAAACGACUAUUCAAGCCACCAAUCGUCUUGCUACAUUAUCUAUACAGAGAAAAAUACUGGACAAACGCAACGUUUAAGCAUUAACCAUGGUUUCCAAGRUAACACUUUCUAUUCUUAUUGUGGCGGUUUUAUUGAUCGCCGAGACAACCUGCGCACCAGCAAAUGAAGUCAGCAGGCGACAUAUGCAGAAAAGAAAUUU